Molecule: non-coding RNA, 2132 nt
Organism: Heterocephalus glaber (naked mole-rat)
Lineage: Eukaryota; Metazoa; Chordata; Mammalia; Rodentia; Bathyergidae
Source: RefSeq, a predicted model, not a curated record
CACUGAAAAGGAGAAGCAGCACCCAGCUUCCAGUGGGGAUUGUGUGCAGGGGCAGAAGACCCUCAGUGACAUUUUUGCCCUGGACUCUCCCAGCACUCCCUGGGCUCCAGGCACCCGGUUGAGUGCAGAAACUCGGUUCUCAGUACCAUGAUGCAGAGGCUGCCUCACCCCAUCAUCCCCGCUUACAGAUGGGAAAGCCAAGCUCAAAAACUGGACAGGCUAGCAACUGUGAGCUCCUGAGCUGGCUGCCUCUGCCUGGUGGACAGAAGACACCCAGAGCUCUGCUCAAGUGUGACAACCUCUGAAGACUUGGUAAGGCUAAAGUUACCCUCUUCCCUAUGUCCCUGCUGCUGCUGGACACGGCACAGGUUCUCCUGAGAUGGGACUCACCAAUAUCCAUCACCUGGGCUGCUGCAGGCUGACAGGCAGCUACUUCUGUUGCUCAGGACCAAGGUGGACACAUCGCACAAAUGGAGACCCCUCACCUCUUUUGUCAGGACUCUCCCAAGAACUGGAGGUGGCAACACCAAAUCUACUGAAGUGGCUCAGAGAAGGAGAGACUGCUCCUAGAGACCACCCGGCCCACCCAGGGAGAGAACCCUGAUUUGCAGCAUUUACCUGCUCCCCUGGUGGAAACACUACCACCAUGGCCGAUUCCAAAGAACCAGUGUGAGACCACUGAAUGCAGAGUUGCAAAGAGACACCCACAGUCAGCUCCAGGAUGCCAGCCCCAGCUUGGUCCAGAGUGGGGCGCUGUCUGGGGAAUUCAUCAUGCUUGGGCCUGUGGAGUCUUUCCCAUGCUCCUAAGUAUCUCUUUGUGCUCAUAUUUACAUUUUUAUCCAUUGGGAAAUUUUCUGAUUGUUUUGUUUGGAAAGUAAGGAGAUGAUACCUUACACAUUUCUCUGCAGCAUGCUAUGCUCCUUUUGGGUUCACAUCUGUCUAGACUAGAAUAGACAGAACAUAGUUUACUCUGUCACUGUUCCUUAGAGGGACCACCUUGAUGUAGUCAACCAGCCCUGGAGUGAUCAACUGACUUCCUCCUUUAUUUUUCCACAUUUAGCGAUGAAAUAACAGCCUUCGUACAUUUAUUUUUAAAUCUAUAUGGUAGAUAUUACAGAGUGAUAUUCCUGGACUGAAAGAUAAGUGUUUAUGAAGCUAUAAUAUAAAUUUCCAGAAAUCCUUUCCAAAAUAGUUGUGGCAAUUAACACUCCCACACCAGUACAUGAGGAAAUCUAUUUUCUCACAUCAGGAAGGGAUUUUUUGAGACUUAAAAAUCUAGUGGAUGAAAAUAAUAUUGCAUUUUAUUUUAUUUUGCAUUUCUCUAAUGUCAAAUGAGUUGUGUUUACCUUUUUACACCCUUUGGUCAUUUUUAGAUUACACUGUUUGCCUUUUAUUUAAUAAUUUAUAGGAGCUCCUCUUAUAGAGUCAUGUGCCAUAUAAUACCAUUCUGGCCAGUGAGGGACCAUAUAUACAAUGAUGAUGUUAAAAUGUUAUAAUGAAGCUGAAAAUUUUCUAUUGCCUAGUGACACCAUAGCCAUUGUGAUGUCAUAGUGUAACACAUUAGGUGUCUGUGCUGAUGGUGGCGUGAACAAACCUACUGUACAAUUAUGUACAGUGCAUAACAUUUGAUAAUAGUAAAUGACUGUGUAACCAUUUGAUGUAUUUACUAUGCUAUACAUUUGUCAUUAUCUCAUCAUAAUUUCACCUACUUAUUACAAAUGUUGAUUGUAAGAGAGUAUACCAUGUGAUGCUGGCAGCACCGUGUCCAUCUCAAGUUUACUACAUCUCUUCCAUGCACAAUACAAUAGGCCGCCUUGAAUGAUUGAUCUGGACUAUAUAGGUGUCAGCACCCUCUGUGAUGUUUGCACAUGGAUAAAAACAUCAACAGUCCAUUUCUCCUGAUGUAUCUCUGUUGUUAAGUGGCACUGUGACUCUGUUGUGAACUAUUGACUGUCUAUUGUAUACACAAUACAUUUCCUGACCUCUUUAAGAAGGUGCUGCUUCUCCAAAGUUAUUUUCCUAAAAUGCUUCUUGUUAUUGUCAUUUUUUUUGAAUUUAGGUUCUUUGUGCAUUUUGAAUCUUUUCAAAUUUUGAUGUAAUGAAUAUGGUCUAGUUUUCAUUUUCUUCCAGAA